This 253-nucleotide ribosomal RNA is filed under the name uncultured bacterium. RNAcentral describes it as "partial 16S ribosomal RNA". It matches the Rfam family "Bacterial small subunit ribosomal RNA", at positions 524 to 776 of the family's 1533-position model. The record is from RNAcentral.
CACGUAGGGUGCGAGCGUUGUCCGGAAUUAUUGGGCGUAAAGAGCUCGUAGGCGGUGUGUCGCGUCGGCCGUGAAAACCUGCAGCUUAACUGUGGGCGUGCGGUCGAUACGGGCAUCACUGGAGUUCGGCAGGGGAGACUGGAAUUCCUGGUGUAGCGGUGAAAUGCGCAGAUAUCAGGAGGAACACCGGUGGCGAAGGCGGGUCUCUGGGCCGAUACUGACGCUGAGGAGCGAAAGCGUGGGAGCGAACAGG